CAGAAAAGGGAAUGGUCGGGAUAGCUCAGCUGGUAGAGCAGAGGACUGAAAAUCCUCGUGUCAC
This 64-nucleotide transfer RNA is filed under the name Alluaudia procera. RNAcentral's name for it is "partial tRNA-Phe". The stretch from base 15 to 64 matches the Rfam family "tRNA", at positions 1 to 48 of the family's 71-position model. From Rfam's summary of the family: Transfer RNA (tRNA) molecules are approximately 80 nucleotides in length. Their secondary structure includes four short double-helical elements and three loops (D, anti-codon, and T loops). Lineage: Eukaryota; Viridiplantae; Streptophyta; Magnoliopsida; Caryophyllales; Didiereaceae. The record is from RNAcentral.